GUUAGUUGUCCAUCAUUCAGUUGGGCACUCUAGCGAGACUGCCGGUAAUAAACCGGGAGGAAGGUGGGGAUGACGUCAAAUCAUCAUGCCCCUUAUGACCUGGGCUACACACGUGCUACAAUGGUUGGUACAACGAGUUGCGAGUCGGUGACGGCGAGCUAAUCUCUUAAAGCCAAUCUCAGUUCGGAUUGUAGGCUGCAACUCGCCUACAUGAAGUCGGAAUCGCUAGUAAUCGCGGAUCAGCACGCCGCGGUGAAUACGUUCCCGGGCCUU
This 273-nucleotide ribosomal RNA is filed under the name uncultured Streptococcus sp. RNAcentral's name for it is "partial 16S ribosomal RNA". It matches the Rfam family "Bacterial small subunit ribosomal RNA", at positions 1110 to 1382 of the family's 1533-position model. The record is from RNAcentral. Lineage: Bacteria; Bacillati; Bacillota; Bacilli; Lactobacillales; Streptococcaceae.